GAUGAAGAACGUAGCGAAAUGCGAUAAGUAAUGUGAAUUGCAGAAUUCAGUGAAUCAUCGAAUCUUUGAACGCACCUUGCGCCCUUUGGCUAUUCCGAAGGGCUUGCCUGUUUGAGUAUCAUGAACACCUCAACUCUCAUGGUUUGCCAUGAUGAGCUUGGACUUUGGGGGUCUUGCCGGCCUAUGGGUCGGCUCCUCUCAAAUUAAUCAGCUUGCCAGUGUUUGGUGGCAUCACAGGUGUGAUAACUAUCUACGCUUGUGGUUUUCCAUCAGGUAACCUUCAGUGAUGGAGGUUCGCUGGGGCUCAUAAAUGUCUCUCCUCAGUGAGGACAGCUUUUUUGAACGUUUGAUCUCAAAUCAGGUAGGACUACCCGCUGAACUUAAGCAUAUCAAUAAGCGGAGGA
Molecule: unclassified non-coding RNA, 404 nt
Filed under: soil metagenome
Description: partial contains 5.8S ribosomal RNA, internal transcribed spacer 2, and large subunit ribosomal RNA
Rfam family: 5.8S ribosomal RNA (bases 1-121)
Source: RNAcentral